RNAcentral lists this ribosomal RNA (363 nucleotides) under uncultured bacterium. RNAcentral describes it as "bacterial SSU rRNA". It matches the Rfam family "Bacterial small subunit ribosomal RNA", at positions 150 to 507 of the family's 1533-position model. The record is from RNAcentral.
GACGAAAGUUACGCUAAUACCCGCAUAUUCUGUGAGCAGGAAAGCAGGGGAUCGCAAGACCUUGCGCUGAUUGAGCGGCCGAUGUCAGAUUAGCUAGUUGGUGAGGUAAAGGCUCACCAAGGCGACGAUCUGUAGCGGGUCUGAGAGGAUGAUCCGCCACACUGGAACUGAGACACGGUCCAGACUCCUACGGGAGGCAGCAGUGGGGAAUUUUGGACAAUGGGCGCAAGCCUGAUCCAGCCAUGCCGCGUGAGUGAAGAAGGCCUUCGGGUUGUAAAGCUCUUUCGGCCGGGAAGAAAUCGCACAGGUUAAUACCCUGUGUGGAUGACGGUACCGGAAUAAGAAGCACCGGCUAACUACGUG